Molecule: ribosomal RNA, 508 nt
Filed under: uncultured bacterium
Lineage: Bacteria
Description: partial 16S ribosomal RNA
Rfam family: Bacterial small subunit ribosomal RNA
Source: RNAcentral
GAUGAACGCUAGCGGCAGGCUUAAUACAUGCAAGUCGAGGGGCAGCAGGUCCCGCAGCAAUGCGGGAUGCUGGCGACCGGCAAACGGGUGCGGAACACGUACAGAACCUUCCUUUAAGUGGGGAAUAGCCCGGGGAAACCCGGAUUAAUACCCCGUAACAUAAUGAAGUGGCAUCACUUUAUUAUUAUAGCAGCAAUGCGCUUGAAGAUGGCUGUGCGGCUGAUUAGGUAGUUGGCGGGGUAACGGCCCACCAAGCCUACGAUCAGUAACUGGUGUGAGAGCACGACCAGUCACACGGGCACUGAGACACGGUCCCGACUCCUACGGGAGGCAGCAGUAAGGAAUAUUGGGCAAUGGACGCAAGUUUGACCCAGCCAUGCCGCGUGGAGGAUGAAGGUCCUCUGGAUUGUAAACUUCUUUUAUCUGGGAAGAAAUCUAUUUUUUCUAAAGUAGUUGACGGUACCAGAUGAAUAAGCACCGGCUAACUCCGUGCCAGCAGCCGCCGUAA